This 270-nucleotide ribosomal RNA is filed under the name uncultured archaeon. RNAcentral describes it as "partial 16S ribosomal RNA". It matches the Rfam family "Archaeal small subunit ribosomal RNA", at positions 477 to 747 of the family's 1478-position model. The record is from RNAcentral.
CAGCACCUCAAGUGGUCAGGAUGAUUAUUGGGCCUAAAGCAUCCGUAGCCGGCGCUGUAAGUUUUCGGUUAAAUCUGUACGCUCAACGUACAGGCUGCCGGGAAUACUGCAGAGCUAGGGGGUGGGAGAGGUAGACGGUACUCGGUAGGAAGGGGUAAAAUCCUUUGAUCUAUUGAUGACCACCUGUGGCGAAGGCGGUCUACCAGAACACGUCCGACGGUGAGGGAUGAAAGCUGGGGGAGCAAACCGGAUUAGAUACCCGAGUAGUCC